GAUGAACGCUAGCUACAGGCUUAACACAUGCAAGUCGAGGGGUAACGAGAGGAAAGCUUGCUUUCCUUGUCGACGACCGGCGCACGGGUGAGUAACGCGUAUCCAACCUGCCCCCAACUAGGGAAUAACCUUGCGAAAGUAAGACUAAUACCCUAUAAUUUCCUCAGAUGUCAUCUGACGAGGAAUAAAGAUUUAUCGGUUGUGGAUGGGGAUGCGUCUGAUUAGCUUGUUGGCGGGGUAACGGCCCACCAAGGCAACGAUCAGUAGGGGUUCGGAGAGGAAGGUCCCCAACAAUGGAACUGAGACACGGUCCAAACUCCUACGGGAGGCAGCAGUGAGGAAUAUUGGGCAAUGGGCGGAAGCCUGAACCAGCCAAGUAGCGUGCAGGAUGACGGCCCUAUGUGUUGUAAACUGCUUUUAUACAGGAAUAAAGUUAGCCACGUGUGGUUAUUUGUAGGUACUGUAUGAAUAAGGACCGGCUAAUUCCGUGCCAGCCGCCGCAGUAA
This 506-nucleotide ribosomal RNA is filed under the name uncultured bacterium. RNAcentral's name for it is "partial 16S ribosomal RNA". It matches the Rfam family "Bacterial small subunit ribosomal RNA", at positions 28 to 523 of the family's 1533-position model. The record is from RNAcentral.